CCUGCUUCAACCGUCUGUGGGGUUCCUCAUCUCUCUGUUCACAAUGUUCUGGCUAUUGAAUUCCAUUCUAUUCAUAACUGGGAUUGCUUGGGCCAGUUCAGAGAUUGUUCUCAUUCAGUCAGGCCCAGAAUUGAAAAAGCCUGGAGAAUCCGUGAGACUCACCUGUUCCACAGCCGGAUUUGAUCUUAGCAGCGCUGACACGCACUGGCUCCGCCAGCCUCCAGGGAAAGGGCUGGAAUGGCUGAUAUACUAUUACUCUUCAACUGGUACCAAUUAUUACUCCCCAACCAUCCAAGGGCGGUUCACUGCCUCCAAGGAUAGCUCCAACUUAUAUCUGCACAUGAACAACCUGAAGCAAGAAGACACAGCCACGUAUUACUGUGCCAGAGGCUCACAGUGA
This is a non-coding RNA of Zootoca vivipara (common lizard), 400 nucleotides long. NCBI's taxonomy places the organism in Eukaryota, Metazoa, Chordata, Lepidosauria, Squamata, Lacertidae. The record is from the annotation of a RefSeq genome assembly.